CCAACCGGCGUCUAAUACUGCAGUCGAGCGGACAGAUGGGAGCUUGCUCCCUGAUGUUAGCGGCGGACGGGUGAGUAACACGUGGGUAACCUGCCUGUAAGACUGGGAUAACUCCGGGAAACCGGGGCUAAUACCGGAUGCUUGUUUGAACCGCAUGGUUCAAACAUAAAAGGUGGCUUCGGCUACCACUUACAGAUGGACCCGCGGCGCAUUAGCUAGUUGGUGAGGUAAUGGCUCACCAAGGCAACGAUGCGUAGCCGACCUGAGAGGGUGAUCGGCCACACUGGGACUGAGACACGGCCCAGACUCCUACGGGAGGCAGCAGUAGGGAUCUUCCGCAAUGGACGAAAGUCUGACGGAGCAACGCCGCGUGAGUGAUGAAGGUUUCGGAUCGUAAAGCUCUGUUGUUAGGGAAGAACAAGUACCGUUCGAAUAGGGCGGUACCUUGACGGUACCUAACCAGAAAGCCACGGCUAACUACGUGCCAGCAGCCGCGGUAUACGUAGGUGGCAAGCGUUGUCCGGAAUUAUUGGGCGUAAAGGGCUCGCAGGCGGUCCUUAAGUCUGAUGUGAAAGCCCCCGGCUCAACCGGGGAGGGUCAUUGGAAACUGGGGAACUUGAGUGCAGAAGAGGAGAGUGGAAUUCCACGUGUAGCGGUGAAAUGCGUAGAGAUGUGGAGGAACACCAGUGGCGAAGCGACUCUCUGGUCUGUAACUGACGCUGAGGAGCGAAAGCGUGGGGAGCGAACAGGAUUAGAUACCCUGGUAGUCCACGCCGUAACGAUGAGUGCUAGUGUUAGGGGGUUUCCGCCCCUUAGUGCUGCAGCUACGCAUAGCACUCGCUGGGGAGUACGGUCGCAGACUGAACUCAAGGAUGACGGGGCCGCACAGCGUGAGCAUGUGUUUAUCGAGCACGCGAGACUAACAGUCUGACAUCUCUGACAUCCUAGAGAUAGACGUCC
This 960-nucleotide ribosomal RNA is filed under the name Bacillus subtilis. Its description in RNAcentral is "bacterial SSU rRNA". It matches the Rfam family "Bacterial small subunit ribosomal RNA", at positions 36 to 1015 of the family's 1533-position model. The record is from RNAcentral. Lineage: Bacteria; Bacillati; Bacillota; Bacilli; Caryophanales; Bacillaceae.